RNAcentral lists this long non-coding RNA (545 nucleotides) under Homo sapiens (human). RNAcentral describes it as "HSALNT0105394". The record is from RNAcentral. Lineage: Eukaryota; Metazoa; Chordata; Mammalia; Primates; Hominidae.
UUUAUUCAACGCAAAAGAAUCCUCUCCAAUUUUACUGAGGUAGCUGACUAUGUCCACAACCAAAUCCGCCUCUAAACUGGAAUUCAGUUGCUGACCCAGCCCCAGACUCGGCUUUCUUGUCGGCACCAGGUGGCACAGCACUCUGUCUGAAGUCAGGAGAGCAGAUAUUUUUAUUCCUGUUGGACAAAUGAAAAAAAAUGAAGCAUGGAAGAGUUAAUUGAAUCACCUAAGAUUCCACACACACUGAACCUAUCCAGAAUUGUGAUUCAUGACUCACCAGAUCCUGUGGCCCCCCUAUCCAGGGGUGCACUCAGCACAUGAGGACGCCUGUGAUUCUGCCCCUAUGAGUUCAUCCCCAACCAGUCAGCAAUACCCAUUCCUUAACCCCCUGCCUGGCAAACUGUCUGGGAGACUGAUUUGAGUGAUAACUCCAAUUCUCUUGUGUGGGCCAGCCACAUAUCAAUAAAACUCUUUCUCUACUGCAAUGCCAUGGUCUCAGUGGAUUGAUUUUGUCUGUACACUGGGGCAGGAAGAACCCAUCAGGG